RNAcentral lists this long non-coding RNA (832 nucleotides) under Medicago truncatula (barrel medic). RNAcentral's name for it is "long non-coding RNA (MTRU_LNC001332)". The record is from RNAcentral. Lineage: Eukaryota; Viridiplantae; Streptophyta; Magnoliopsida; Fabales; Fabaceae.
AAUAUUUCGGCAUAUAAAAAUGAUGGCAGUAAGCAAGAUGUCAAAGACUUUGAACCAAGGUCCAACAUUUCAGCUUAUGGAGACAAUGACAUUGAUGUAAAAGAAAAGAAUGGAGCCAUUAAAGAUUUUGAACCUAGACCUAAUAUUUCAGCUUAUGGAGAAAAUGUCAUUGAUGCUGAUGAAAAGAAGAAACCAGUCAAAGAUUUUGAACCAAGACCCAAUAUUUCAGCUUAUGGAGACAAUGACAUUGAUGUUAAGGAAAAUAAGGGAGCCACCAACGAUUUUGAGCCAAGACCCAACAUUUCAGCUUAUGGAGACAAUGUCAUUGAUGAUAAUAAAAUGAAGAAACCAGUUGAAUAUUUCCAACCAAGACCAAACAUUUCAGCUUAUGGAGAAAAUGACAUUGAUGUUAAAAAAAGUAAAGAUUUUGAACCAAGACCCAACAUUUCAGCUUUUGGAGACAAUGACAUUGAUGUUAAUGAAAAGAAGGGAGAUACUAAAGAUUUCGAACCAAGACCAAAUAUUUCAGCUUAUGGAGACAAUGCCAUUGAUGAUGAUGAAAUGAAGAAACCAAUUAAAGAUUUUAAACCAAAACCAAACAUUUCGGCUUAUGGAGACAAUGUCAUUGAUGCUGAUGAAAUGAAGAAACCAGUCGAAGGUUUUGAACCAAGACCAAACAUUUCAACUUAUGGAGACAAUGUCAUUGAUGUUGAUGAAAUGAAGAAACAACAAGUCAAAGAUUUUGAACCAAGAACCAACAUUUCAGCUUAUGGAGACAAUGACAUUGAUGUUAAAGAAAAGAAGGGAGUCACCAACGAUUUUGAGCCAAGAC